This 322-nucleotide ribosomal RNA is filed under the name uncultured eukaryote. Its description in RNAcentral is "partial 18S ribosomal RNA". It matches the Rfam family "Eukaryotic small subunit ribosomal RNA", at positions 1470 to 1796 of the family's 1831-position model. The record is from RNAcentral.
CCCUUAGAUGUCCUGGGCCGCACGCGCGCUACACUGACAUGUUCAACAAGUUUCUCCUAGUUCGACAGGACUGGGAAAUCUUUGAACGCAUGUCGUGAUAGGGAUAGAUCAUUGCAAUUAUUGAUCUUGAACGAGGAAUUCCUAGUAAACGCGAGUCAUCAGCUCGCAUUGAUUACGUCCCUGCCCUUUGUACACACCGCCCGUCGCACCUACCGAUUGGAUGGUCCGGUGAAGCCUCGGGAUUGUGGCGGUUGCCUUUAUUGGUGGCCGCCGCGAGAACUUGUCUAAACCUUAUCAUCUAGAGGAAGGUGAAGUCGUAACA